Molecule: long non-coding RNA, 757 nt
Organism: Mus musculus (house mouse)
Lineage: Eukaryota; Metazoa; Chordata; Mammalia; Rodentia; Muridae
Product: predicted gene, 41508
Exons: 3
Source: RefSeq, a predicted model, not a curated record
CAUGUUGCCAUGAUGUAAUGGACUGAACCUCUGAAACUGAUGGACUUCAUAGACGGACUUUGUAGACGACAAUGUCGAAUCGCGGUGUCAGAGGCUGAACAGCUGGAUCCUGUGUGGAAAAUGCCCAGCCUCUGCUCUGAGAGCCCUGUGCGCCAGAGUGGAAGAGACCCUGACUGAAGAUAUACCCACAGGACAUGGCACCCCAGUUCAGAAGAAUCAGGGGAGACACUACAUCAAGCAAGAAUCCAUACAGCGAAAGACCAACGCUGCCCGCCAACACUCAGGUGUGGGUGUGGAAAGCCUCACAGAACAGAAGAGCAGGUCCUCGGAGCUGGGUAACAAGUCACAGGACACAACCACAGGGAGAUGCGGUGAUCAAUGUCAGAGGGACCCGUUGUGCAGCAAAGCAAACUCGUGCCACUGAUAAAAGCAGCCAGUUUCAAAACCAUGCAGCACGGACAUUAAGUGGUUUAAUCAGAAAAAGCAGAAACUGUAACACUGAGCUAGAAGUGUUCCUUAAUGAGCUAGAAGUGCCCACCACUAUGCACACAUACUUCAAAAUGUCCUUCUGUAGAAAAUUGAAAAACACAAAGGUCACCUGACAAUCAAAAAAAGACGGAAGGGAACAUUAGUCAAGGGCUGCCACAAUGACUCCACGGGUAAAAGCAUUUAGUGUGCAGCCCUCAGACCUGAGGUUGAUCCUGAAGCCCAUGUGUACUGGCUGGUUUUGUGUCAACUUGACACAGGCUGGAGUUAU